CUCCAGAGUAUUCAGUGCAGUUCAGGGCAGCUUCCAUGUUCUGUUAAUUAAACGUUGGAACAUUGAAAUUGGCGGAGGGAAGACUAAAUGGAGAGUUACUCUAUUUAUAUACUUCUAGCUCACAUGC
This is a small nucleolar RNA of Rattus norvegicus (Norway rat), 127 nucleotides long. Lineage: Eukaryota; Metazoa; Chordata; Mammalia; Rodentia; Muridae. The record is from Ensembl.